GAUGAAGAACGCAGCGAAAUGCGAUAAGUAAUGUGAAUUGCAGAAUUCAGUGAAUCAUCGAAUCUUUGAACGCACAUUGCGCCCGCCAGUAUUCUGGCGGGCAUGCCUGUUCGAGCGUCAUUUCAACCAUCAAGCCCCCGGCUUGUGUUGGGGACCUGCGGCUGCCGCAGGCCCUGAAAACCAGUGGCGGGCUCGCUAGUCACUCCGAGCGUAGUAAUACAUCUCGCUCAGGGCGUGCUGUGGGUUCCGGCCGUUAAAAGCCUUAUUUACCCAAGGUUGACCUCGGAUCAGGUAGGAAGACCCGCUGAACUUAAGCAUAUCAAUAAGCGGAGGA
RNAcentral lists this unclassified non-coding RNA (334 nucleotides) under soil metagenome. Its description in RNAcentral is "partial contains 5.8S ribosomal RNA, internal transcribed spacer 2, and large subunit ribosomal RNA". The stretch from base 1 to 120 matches the Rfam family "5.8S ribosomal RNA", at positions 35 to 154 of the family's 154-position model. The record is from RNAcentral.